ACUCCCCUUAUGCUUCAUCUUCCUCGAGUCGACUUCCGUCUGUGUGCGAGUCGACUCCUCCUUAUGAGCCGACUCUGAAACUUACUCGAGUCGACUCGAACUUUGGCACGCACCUAAAAAUCAUGCUAUUUUCGUACCAAACCAGAGACACUCACUAAGUUAUGAUCUAAUUUGAUGAUCAUAGUUGAGAAACUCUAUUUUUAACACAAUCUAAACAUCAAAAUCAAUGAACUAGAGGAGAACACCACUAGGAUGGAUCAAUCACUCCUAAUCCCC
This 276-nucleotide long non-coding RNA is filed under the name Phoenix dactylifera (date palm). Its description in RNAcentral is "long non-coding RNA (PDAC_LNC018689)". Lineage: Eukaryota; Viridiplantae; Streptophyta; Magnoliopsida; Arecales; Arecaceae. The record is from RNAcentral.